CAAUAGCGUAUAUUAAAGUUGUUGCAGUUAAAAAGCUCGUAGUCUGACCCUUGGCGGGCGCUGAGCGUCCGUGGCGUAAGUCACGCGCACGCGAUACGCGCUCUUGCCAUUGUACUCCAGAGGAACGCGUUUGCUUUUCAUUAAGCGGGCGGUGGGAUUCUGGUAGUUUACUUUGAGAAAAAUAGAGUGUUCAAAGCAGGCGACUCGCCUUGAAUACGUUAGCAUGGGAUAAUGAAGUAGGACAUUGGUUUUCCUAUUUUGAUGGUUUAAGGACCGAUGUAAUGAUUANUAGGGACAGUUGGGGACAUUCAUAUUCCAUGGCUAGAGGUGAAAUUCUUGGAUUCAUGGAAGAUGAACUACUGCGAANGNAUUUGUNAAAGAUGUUUNCAUUG
This 392-nucleotide ribosomal RNA is filed under the name uncultured eukaryote. Its description in RNAcentral is "partial 18S ribosomal RNA". It matches the Rfam family "Eukaryotic small subunit ribosomal RNA", at positions 592 to 975 of the family's 1831-position model. The record is from RNAcentral.